GGCUCCGUGGUGAAGUUCAUGUUGAGUUGCAAGCUCAUCGAUGUAUGCUGACGGCGUACCGGGGCCU
RNAcentral lists this transfer RNA (67 nucleotides) under Turnix velox (Little buttonquail). RNAcentral's name for it is "tRNA-Cys". The record is from RNAcentral. Lineage: Eukaryota; Metazoa; Chordata; Aves; Charadriiformes; Turnicidae.